CCUUGGGGAUCGCUGGCCUUGCAAACAAUCGUUUCGCUCCCGAUCCCAGGUCGGGAGCUUCUUCCGGAGGAACAUCUUCCAUGGUCAGAGCACCUGUCAACAUCUCCAAAACACAGCAUCCCAAACUCCAAAUGUCCGACUGUCGCGCAAACACUCCCUUGAUAAAAACCUCUGGAGCAGAGUAUCCCAACGUCCCCUCAAACGAUUGCGAUUGAUGGGGAGCAUA
Molecule: non-coding RNA, 226 nt
Filed under: Guillardia theta
Lineage: Eukaryota; Cryptophyceae; Pyrenomonadales; Geminigeraceae
Source: RNAcentral